AAUUGUUCAAUGAACAAAAACAUUACAGCAAAUGAAAAACUCAAUUCUGCAGCAAACAGUUACAUAUGAUCUUAUUCUCACAUCACAAUAGCUCUGUAAUCUGCAUAACAAUUCAGGAUCUGCCACAUGCAUAAUCACCUUAAUUAGGAGUUCAAUUUCUGUGAAAGCUAUUUAACUUUACCAUCAAAGUUACAUAGAGUUUGUCACCCACUCUGUCAACAAACCAAUAGUAAGCAUGCCUCCAUUUCCUAAUAAGAAACAAAGAACCAAAAAUCCAACUCCCAUGCCUCGAUACAACGAUUCUCUUAUAGAGUCACCGAAGUUACAGAAGCAGCAACUUCACAUUAACAUCACAGAAAAAUUGCUUCAGCAUUGAAUUAACGAAUUGUGAAGAAUGGAGAAAGGAAGAAUACCUGGUUAGAGCGAUUGGAAUCAAUUGGAGAGUAUGAGCUUGGUUCGAUUGGAAGAGAACAUCAUCGAUUAGGGUUCAAUUGGAGAGAUCAUCGUGAAUUUGGGAUUUAGGGUUCAUCGUUUAGGGUUCAAUUGGAGCUUGGAGAUAUCAGAAUCAUGCACAUGGUGAUGAUGUUGUUUGCGAAUUGCGACUUUGCGUGAAUGAAUUUUGUGCGUGAAUGGUGAAUGACCAAUUAGAGUGGUUUUUGUGCGUGAAUUA
This 670-nucleotide long non-coding RNA is filed under the name Trifolium pratense (red clover). Its description in RNAcentral is "long non-coding RNA (TPRA_LNC012242)". Lineage: Eukaryota; Viridiplantae; Streptophyta; Magnoliopsida; Fabales; Fabaceae. The record is from RNAcentral.